GAAAUGCGAUAAGUAGUGUGAGUUGCAGAAUUCAGUGAAUCAUCGAAUCUUUGAACGCACAUUGCGCCCCUCGGUAUUCCGUGGGGCAUGCCUGUUCGAGCGUCAUCUACACCCUCAAGCUCUGCUUGGUGUUGGGCGUCUGUCCCGCCUCCUUCGCGCGCGGACUCGCCCCAAAUCCAUUGGCGGCGGUCCUUGCCUCCCUCUCGCGCAGCACAUUGCGCUUCUCGAGGCGCGGCGGACCGCGUCCAGCAAGCAACCGUCACACCGUCUUUGACCUCGGAUCAGGUAGGGAUACCCGCUGAACUUAAGC
Molecule: unclassified non-coding RNA, 310 nt
Filed under: plant metagenome
Description: partial contains 5.8S ribosomal RNA, internal transcribed spacer 2, and large subunit ribosomal RNA
Rfam family: 5.8S ribosomal RNA (bases 1-105)
Source: RNAcentral